AAAUCUGGUGGUCUCUUUGGCCAUCCGAGUUGUAAUUUAGAGAAGCGUCUUCCGCGCUGGACCGUGCACAAGUCUCCUGGAACGGAGCAUCAUAGAGGGUGAGAAUCCCGUCUUUGGCACGGACGCACCAGGGCUUUUGUGAUGCGCUCUCGAAGAGUCGAGUUGUUUGGGAAUGCAGCUCAAAAUGGGUGGUGAACUCCAUCUAAAGCUAAAUAUUGGCGAGAGACCGAUAGCGAACAAGUACCGUGAGGGAAAGAUGAAAAGCACUUUGGAAAGAGAGUGAAACAGUACGUGAAAUUGUUGAAAGGGAAACGCUUGAAGUCAGUCGCGUCGACCGAGACUCAGCCUUGCCUUGGCUCGGUGUAUUUCUCGGCCGACGGGUCAGCGUCAAUUUUGCUCCUUGGAUAAUGGSGAGAGGAAUGUGACACCCUUCGGGGUGUGUUAUAGCCUCUCGUCGCAUGCGAGGGGUGAGAUUGAGGAACUCAGCACGUGCCCUUGUGGCGUCGGGGCUUUGCCCACGAUGCGUGCUUAGGAUGUUGGCGUAAUGGCUUCAAACGACCCGUCUUGAAACACGGACCAAGGAGUCUAACAUGCCCGCGAGUGUUCGGGUGGAAAAACCCGUGCSCGCAAUGAAAGUGAAAGUUGGGACCUCUGUCGUGGAGGGCACCGACGCCCGGACCGGAGCUUCUGUGAUGGAUCCGCGGUAGAGCGUGCAUGUUAGGACCCGAAAGAUGGUGAACUAUGCCUGAAUAGGGUGAAGCCAGAAGAAACUCUGGUGGAGGCUCGUAGCGAUUCUGACGUGCAAWUCGAUCGUCAAUUUGGGUAU
Molecule: ribosomal RNA, 826 nt
Filed under: Russula sp.
Lineage: Eukaryota; Fungi; Basidiomycota; Agaricomycetes; Russulales; Russulaceae
Description: partial large subunit ribosomal RNA
Source: RNAcentral